This 502-nucleotide unclassified non-coding RNA is filed under the name uncultured Pacispora. RNAcentral describes it as "SSU rRNA". It matches the Rfam family "Eukaryotic small subunit ribosomal RNA", at positions 591 to 1092 of the family's 1831-position model. Lineage: Eukaryota; Fungi; Glomeromycota; Glomeromycetes; Diversisporales; Pacisporaceae. The record is from RNAcentral.
CCAAUAGCGUAUAUUAAAGUUGUUGCAGUUAAAAAGCUCGUAGUUGAAUUUCGGAAUUCUUUUAUCGGUUGAAUCAACAGGUUCGUACUGAUUUUAAGAAUUUCUACCUUCUGGAGAACCUUAAUGUCAUUUAUUUGGUGUUUUGGGGAACCAGGACUGUUACCUUGAAAAAAUUAGAGUGUUUAAAGUAGGCUUAUGUCUGAAUAUAUUAGCAUGGAAUAAUGAAAUAGGACGGCAUGGUUCUAUUUUGUUGGUUUCUAGGAUCACCGUAAUGAUUAAUAGGGAGAGUUGGGGGCAUUAGUAUUCAAUUGUCAGAGGUGAAAUUCUUGGAUUUAUUGAAGACUAACUUCUGCGAAAGCAUUUGCCAAGGAUGUUUUCAUUAAUCAAGAACGAAAGUUAGGGGAUCGAAGACGAUCAGAUACCGUCGUAGUCUUAACCAUAAACUAUGCCGACUAGGAAUCGGACGAAGUUAAUUUUUUAAUGACUCGUUCGGCGCCUUACG